Long non-coding RNA from Pseudoliparis swirei, 3259 nucleotides. RefSeq lists it as uncharacterized. The record is from RefSeq and is a predicted model, not a curated record. The transcript has 4 exons. Lineage: Eukaryota; Metazoa; Chordata; Actinopteri; Perciformes; Liparidae.
AUUUCCAGGAUGGAUUUCUCCGGAUUCUUUGCUUUGCUGAAGUGAAAGAAGCUGUCAAGCUUCCUCGCUUCUGAUUGAGACAGACCUAAACAAAUAAAAUAAUGCACAUCGGUGAGUAAUUUAAACUCAACCACAGCAACGAGGAUCCAACGAUGUCAAGAUAUUCAUGUUGGCUUGGAAGUUAACCAAAUAAACAUAACAAAUGCUGCGGUUGAUCUGGACAACACCAAGAGGACUUUUAACGAAGGCGCCACGAGGCACCACAGACGCUUCCUCCUCGAUCAGAUGGACCGUCACCGCCAGCCGGAUUUCCUCGAUGACUUUGAUCUGAAAACCAAGAACACUUCAUCCUCCUGUUCGGGCUUCUUCUCGUGAUACUCGUACACGUAAGAGGGGUCUCCGAUGAAGCGACUCUUCGCAGCCUUGGACACGUCUUGGAUCAUGGAGUCUGUGGCAGGAGGCAGCAGAGACCAGUCCAUGCAGUUCAAGCUGCACACACAGAACCAAGGACACACAAAUAGGAAGAGUACCCCACACAGAAGAGAACACACAAGGACAGCCCCUCACCAACCCAUCCACUCACUCACACAGACAAACACACUUUGAGCUUGUGGCUCAGGAUGUCACCCCAUUAGACUUGGCAGGCUGGGAGGUGGACGUUUGGGACUUGGGGGCCACCGAGUGAUCCACACAGACACACAACUCCAUGUUCUGUUCCCCAAUCGGACGGGAGGGGAAGUGAUACUCGGGAGCGGAGCGUCCCUGUUUCUGUUCCUGGUCCCGCCGCUCUGGGAAACUCACCUCCCAGGCGACCGGCGUUGCCACGGCGCUAAUCCUGACGGACAAAAGAUGGGAGUGCCGCGGAGCGCGAUGCUGCCAGACGCUCUCAUUGGCUGGCACCGUCCCACGCGAUGCUGUGAUUGGCCCGCGCUGUGUUUAUAUACAAAUUGGAGCAGUCAGAGGUCACAUCCAUCGAUCUUGGUGGUGACGUGAAGGAAACCUGACCUCAAAAACCUUUCGGACUCUAAAUGGGUUUAAUUCCUAUUUGAUACACACACACAGGCACACAUACAUACAUGCAUACACACAGACACACACACGGUUUCUUAAAUUCAGUGGCAUGGGAGUGCAGAAUUCAGUGAAUACUGAGAGAGAGAGAGGGAGGGAGUGGGAGUGAAGUGACUAAAUAAUAGUGUCUGUGCUAUACAAAAGAACAGACGACAACAAUACCAAGAAUGCAUCGAGGGCACCGAGUUCAGGGGGUUGCACACCUAUAUGCAAACACAGAGGUUUGGGAUUAAGCCUGGAUAAAUAUUUUGAUCCAGAGAACGGCGUGUUGUGUAAACUAGUAAUACCGUACAGGAUAAAUUACUGCUUUCACUUGACCUCGGGUAUAGUCUGAAAACCAAUCAUUAUUAUCACAGUCAGGUUUUAUCUGCUAUCUUCACAUUUCAAAGCGUAUUCUUUUUUGUUGAGUUACUACUCUCCUCACACUGUACUUUCUGUAUCUAGCACCGUCACUGAGUUGACAAAUGAAAAAAAACGAUUACGAAUGAAUCGGCUACGCUCGCAUUACGGCGAUUAUUACGGUUGUCGCAGAUAUAUCUGUACAAGAAGUUCCCGGACAGAAAGGUCAAAGAUAACUGUUUAAGUGUCUCAUUACUAUUCUGUCCUUUUUGGGAUCUGGUGAUUUUCCUGCUUACAUAUCUUGGUCAUAAUUCUGGAAAAGUAAUAUGUUGAUGUAAUUUUUCCUGUGAAGAUUGACACCAUGCGUUUGCACUAAAUACGAAGCUUAGUUAGCUUAGCUUAGCACAAACACUGGCGGCGGGUGGUAUCUAAAGCUAACAAGUGAACACCGUGUUUGUUUAUUAAUCUGUACACACAGCUCUCCUCCUAGCUUCAUGUUUAGAGAGGGCUGAUAAUCUUCUGAUAUUACGACAACAGCAAAUCAUAAUAUUCCCUUCGAACACUUAUUUUAAAGGUCUCCAACUUUUAAAUGUAUUUUAUUUUAAAUUUGUAAUUUAUUUAACCAGGAAAUGCCUCAUUGAGAUAAAAAAAAUCUCCUUUACAAGAUGGCAGUAGUAGCGCAUAACGCAAAGUUUCAGACAAUACGACAUAAAACAGUGAAAAAGAAGGAUCAUUUUUUAGAUCGCAGCAUGAAUAAAACCAAAACUAAGACUCAAGUCAUCAUAACCCAGUUCACACAGGUGCACAUACCUCCGUCAUCUACAACCAGAUGAACCUACCUCCAACUCUUUCAAUCUAUUUUUUAAAACACCUAAAGAGAACCGGCUCCCGCAGACCCAAAUAUUCUGUUCAGUAAAUCUUCUAAGAACCGUCUUAAUAAUGAAAGCCAAACAUGUUGUUUCUAAUUAAAUGAAGUUAUAGUGUAACCAGGAGUGUCCCUUUUGGUGCACAUGCAAAAAUGCCUUUAAUUUCCUUUCUCAAAUAGGCUACGUUCCAUCUUCCCCUAUAAUUUGAACAAAAUGACAUGGUGGUUUUUCCAGGAAAAUAAAUGGUGCCCCACAGACGUGAGGGUGUCUGCUGUCAGCGGGGUUAUCUCUCAGACUAAACAGAAAGCAGAUCAGACUAGGCGACUGAAAGAUUUGGGUUUUUACCAGGCACAAUUACAUCACUGACGGUAAUAAAUGAUUUAGGCAUUUUUUUUUUUACUUCUCGUUGCAUCUUUUCAUCCGACUCGAGCCUCCCUUGAAGACUCUGAGUGAGCGGCGCUGGCUUCAGACCAGCAUUGUGUCUGAGAACAUCUUGUGGAGCCGUUUCAACAUGCGACGCCACAAAAACCGCUCCCAGUUUGGAGUGAACUUCAAAUCAGACUUUCACACGCUCCUUUCGCCCAGAACCAUGUGGGCCCGAAUUUGAGCCAGUGAAUGUGUGGUGUGUUUAACUUUGGGUUCACAGUUUGGGUUCUGGAAAGCUGCACGGAGCCGCUUCCCAGGCUGCAUGCGGCCUUCACGUCCACGUUCCUCCCACGAGCUCCUGUCACAGCAAGUGCUUUAAAACACACGUUUCAUACACACGGCCCAGAGACGCUCCGUCAGGCAUCCGACAUCAAACGAUCGUCUCUUUCCCGGCUCAUCCUCGGAGACAAGAGAGGAUAUCUGCAAGUUAUUAGUGCCCCCGCAUUGACCCCGCACAGCUUUCUCACGUGACCUUGUCGAGGUAUGCGUGUUCAAAUCUCCUCGUGUGGGGGUCAUGUGGUGCAGGCUGGUGUGAUUGCGAAUAAAGAAGCUAUAUGGUG